AUACGGAUGGUGCGAGCGUUGUUCGGAAUUACUGGGCGUAAAGGGCGCGUAGGCGGCGAUGUAAGUCAAAUGUGAAAGUCCUCGGCUUAACCGGGGAAGUGCAUCUGAAACUGCAUUGCUUGAGUAUGGGAGAGGAAAGUGGAAUUCCCGGUGUAGAGGUGAAAUUCGUAGAGAUCGGGAGGAAUACCGGUGGCGAAGGCGACUUUCUGGACCAAUACUGACGCUGAGGCUCGAAAGCGUGGGGAGCAAACAGGAUUAGAAACCCCAGUAGUCC
RNAcentral lists this ribosomal RNA (274 nucleotides) under uncultured bacterium. RNAcentral describes it as "partial 16S ribosomal RNA". It matches the Rfam family "Bacterial small subunit ribosomal RNA", at positions 523 to 796 of the family's 1533-position model. The record is from RNAcentral.